AAGGUGAGACUGAACAUGGACAAGGCGCAGGAGAAACAGAAGGAGAGCUACUGGAGCAGAGUCGAGAAGGGGACCAAGUGCUACYACAUCCGGGCAAAUGAGUUGGUUUGGAAGAAGGACGAAAGGGUUACCUAGGUUAACAAUCUUCUACAGUUGGAGCAGAUGGACGGUCGACCCCUGGAAGCACUGACGCCCUACACUUCAGUGAAGCGUAAUAGACAAAUGACUUUAGGACCAUCGACUGUCCAAGCCCCCCAGGAGGUAUCCCGUCCACCAGAACCAGUGAGUUCGGAUCAGUCUGAUUCUCUGUGCUCUGAGUCGGAGGGGGACCAG
Salvelinus sp. IW2-2015 is the source of this 333-nucleotide long non-coding RNA. RefSeq lists it as uncharacterized. The record is from RefSeq and is a predicted model, not a curated record. Lineage: Eukaryota; Metazoa; Chordata; Actinopteri; Salmoniformes; Salmonidae.